UACGAAGGGGGCUAGCGUUGUUCGGAGUCACUGGGCGUAAAGCGCACGUAGGCGGAUCUCUAAGUCGGGGGUGAAAUCCCGAGGCUCAACCUCGGAACUGCCUUCGAUACUGGAGAUCUUCGAGUCCGGGAGAGGUGAGUGGAACUCCGAGUGUAGAGGUGAAAUUCGUAGAUAUUCGGAAGAACACCAGUGGCGAAGGCGGCUCACUGGCCCGGUACUGACGCUGAGGUGCGAAAGCGUGGGGAGCAAACAGG
Molecule: ribosomal RNA, 254 nt
Filed under: uncultured bacterium
Lineage: Bacteria
Description: partial 16S ribosomal RNA
Rfam family: Bacterial small subunit ribosomal RNA
Source: RNAcentral